Molecule: long non-coding RNA, 665 nt
Filed under: Gallus gallus (chicken)
Lineage: Eukaryota; Metazoa; Chordata; Aves; Galliformes; Phasianidae
Description: long non-coding RNA NONGGAT007801
Source: RNAcentral
AAGAGUGGCCAUCAGCACACAGGUUUUGCAGGGAAAUAUGCCUCCCAGUAUCAUGGAAACUCUCCUUUCUGCAGCCUCCCUGCUUCAGUAUUCUCUGCAGGUCCCACUGCCACAGGCAAAGCAGAAGCACUUCAGACAGCAGAAUCUACUGGUUCUCUUCAUAGAGAAAUUAUUUGCUUGGGAGUGCUUCUGUACUCAGGUAUCCAAAGCCAAACUUGUUAAAAUAUGCACAGCUAAGGUAAAGCUCUGGAAGCUUUCUGGGCAGAUCAGAUCCAGUCUCUUUUUGGUGGCAAUGCAUAAUGUUCCCUCACUGGCACUGUACCAUUUGCCAGCACCACGCAGCAUUUUCUACUCCUGGGCCACUGGUUUAAAACCAACUCAGCUUAGUAGCAGGCCAGUUAUACCAGUCAGUGGAGAGCAGCAGUCCACAUGGACCAGGUGGAAGUACUAAGUGGGUUGUCCAAGUCACUGCGGGCUCAAAUGGGCAAGGGACCAGGACAGAGCCAUGUGAAGAGCUGGUCCUCAGAGCAGAUGCUGCUGGUCCCGGCAGUAAUAUAGACCCAAUGGACAUGGGGCUGAACUGCACUGAGUACAUGGAUGCAAUAAUUUGCUUUGAUGUGUGCUAUGCUAUGCUCUGUUUAGCUAAAACUUCCGUUUCCUGAGUU